CCUACGGGAGGCAGCAGUGGGGAAUUUUGGACAAUGGGCGAAAGCCUGAUCCAGCAAUGCCGCGUGAGUGAAGAAGGCCUUCGGGUUGUAAAGCUCUUUUGUCAGGGAAGAAACGGUGAGAGCUAAUAUCUUUUGCUAAUGACGGUACCUGAAGAAUAAGCACCGGCUAACUACGUGCCAGCAGCCGCGGUAAUACGUAGGGUGCAAGCGUUAAUCGGAAUUACUGGGCGUAAAGCGUGCGCAGGCGGUUUUGUAAGUCUGAUGUGAAAUCCCCGGGCUCAACCUGGGAAUUGCAUUGGAGACUGCAAGGCUAGAAUCUGGCAGAGGGGGGUAGAAUUCCACGUGUAGCAGUGAAAUGCGUAGAUAUGUGGAGGAACACCGAUGGCGAAGGCAGCCCCCUGGGUCAAGAUUGACGCUCAUGCACGAAAGCGUGGGGAGCAAACAGGAUUAGAUACCCUGGUAGUCCACGCCCUAAACGAUGUCUACUAGUUGUCGGGUCUUAAUUGACUUGGUAACGCAGCUAACGCGUGAAGUGACCGCCUGGGGAGUCGGUUGCGAAGAUUAAAACUCAAAAUUGAAUUGACGGGCNGAGACGNGCGACGGACGACGACGAGGGAGGAGG
This 622-nucleotide ribosomal RNA is filed under the name uncultured bacterium. Its description in RNAcentral is "bacterial SSU rRNA". It matches the Rfam family "Bacterial small subunit ribosomal RNA", at positions 338 to 954 of the family's 1533-position model. The record is from RNAcentral.